UAUGAAGGCGGGCUGGAACCUCUCGGGGUUACAGCCUUGCUGAAUUAUUCACCCUUGUCUUUUGCGUACUUCUUGUUUCCUUGGUGGGUUCGCCCACCACUAGGACAAACAUAAACCUUUUGUAAUUGCAAUCAGCGUCAGUAACAAAUUAAUAAUUACAACUUUCAACAACGGAUCUCUUGGUUCUGGCAUCGAUGAAGAACGCAGCGAAAUGCGAUAAGUAGUGUGAAUUGCAGAAUUCAGUGAAUCAUCGAAUCUUUGAACGCACAUUGCGCCCUUUGGUAUUCCAAAGGGCAUGCCUGUUCGAGCGUCAUUUGUACCCUCAAGCUUUGCUUGGUGUUGGGCGUCUUGUCUCUAGCUUUGCUGGAGACUCGCCUUAAAGUAAUUGGCAGCCGGCCUACUGGUUUCGGAGCGCAGCACAAGUCGCACUCUCUAUCAGCAAAGGUCUAGCAUCCAUUAAGCCUUUUUUUCAACUUUUGACCUCGGAUCAGGUAGGGAUACCCGCUGAACUUAAGCAUAUCAAUAAGCGGAGAAA
This 535-nucleotide ribosomal RNA is filed under the name Alternaria sp. TUM-12. Its description in RNAcentral is "eukaryotic LSU rRNA". The stretch from base 160 to 313 matches the Rfam family "5.8S ribosomal RNA". Lineage: Eukaryota; Fungi; Ascomycota; Dothideomycetes; Pleosporales; Pleosporaceae. The record is from RNAcentral.